This 539-nucleotide ribosomal RNA is filed under the name uncultured fungus. RNAcentral's name for it is "eukaryotic LSU rRNA". The stretch from base 189 to 342 matches the Rfam family "5.8S ribosomal RNA". The record is from RNAcentral. Lineage: Eukaryota; Fungi.
AGUCGUAACAAGGUUUCCGUAGGUGAACCUGCGGAAGGAUCAUUACCUAGAGUUUGUAGACUUCGGUCUGCUACCUCUUACCCAUGUCUUUUGAGUACCUUCGUUUCCUCGGCGGGUCCGCCCGCCGAUUGGACAACAUUCAAACCCUUUGCAGUUGCAAUCUGCGUCUGAAAAAACAUAAUAGUUACAACUUUCAACAACGGAUCUCUUGGUUCUGGCGUCGAUGAAGAACGCAGCGAAAUGCGAUAAGUAGUGUGAAUUGCAGAAUUCAGUGAAUCAUCGAAUCUUUGAACGCACAUUGCGCCCCUUGGUAUUCCAUGGGGCAUGCCUGUUCGAGCGUCAUUUGUACCUUCAAGCUCUGCUUGGUGUUGGGUGUUUGUCUCGCCUCUGCGUGUAGACUCGCCUUAAAACAAUUGGCAGCCGGCGUAUUGAUUUCGGAGCGCAGUACAUCUCGCGCUUUGCACUCAUAACGACGACGUCCAAAAGUACAUUUUUACACUCUUGACCUCGGAUCAGGUAGGGAUACCCGCUGAACUUAA